UACGUAGGGGGCAAGCGUUGUCCGGAUUUAUUGGGCGUAAAGAGCGUGUAGGCGGUUUGGUAGGUCCGCUGUGAAAACUCGAGGCUCAACCUCGAGACGCCGGUGGAAACCAUCAGGCUAGAGUCCGGAAGAGGAGAGUGGAAUUCCUGGUGUAGCGGUGAAAUGCGCAGAUAUCAGGAAGAACACCCGUGGCUAAGGCGGCUCUCUAGUACGGUACUGACGCUGAGACGCGAAAGAAUGGGGAGCGAACAGG
Molecule: ribosomal RNA, 253 nt
Filed under: uncultured bacterium
Lineage: Bacteria
Description: partial 16S ribosomal RNA
Rfam family: Bacterial small subunit ribosomal RNA
Source: RNAcentral